CACUCCUACCUGUUUAGCACCAUAGGAAUCCAAAUUGCCAUGCUAUUGCUGCCUCCCUCCUCUCCACCCACAGCACUUCUGUUCAGUUUCCAGACACUGCAUCAGCAGCAGGCUGCUGUGCCAAGCCCCCUCCCUGCACCAGCAGAAUGCAGUUCCCAAGGCAUCCUGCUCUUUGGAGGAAAUGGUCUCAUUCUGUACCCCCAGGCUCUGGAGCAUAAUGUCCCUCACAACAGCCUGUGCACUUGGAAUAUAACAGUACCAGAGGACAAAAUCAUCUUGAUGUCCUUCACUAAAUUAGAUGUAGGUACCAACUUGGAUGUGACUCUGACUAUGUGUCUCUCUAUUUGAAUGGAAGAGAGCUGAUCAGACCUUUGGUAGCAGAAGAAACUGCGUGCUUAGCCUUGCUUAGCUGGUGAGUGUCCAGGUGGACUUCUGAUGUGUUAGUCUAGCCAGUAAUGUGUUGAAGACACAACUCACAGGCUGGCUCUUAGCUCGAAAUCAUGU
Molecule: long non-coding RNA, 504 nt
Organism: Corapipo altera (White-ruffed manakin)
Lineage: Eukaryota; Metazoa; Chordata; Aves; Passeriformes; Pipridae
Exons: 4
Source: RefSeq, a predicted model, not a curated record